GACGAACGCUGGCGGCGUGCUUAACACAUGCAAGUCGAGCGGUAAGGCCCUUUCGGGGGUACACGAGCGGCGAACGGGUGAGUAACACGUGGGUGACCUGCCUUUAGCUCUGGGAUAAGCCUGGGAAACUGGGUCUAAUACCGGAUAUGACCCUAUGGCGCAUGUUGUGGGGUGGAAAGCCUUGUGCGGCUAGGGAUGGGCCCGCGGCCCAUCAGCUUGUUGGUGGGGUGAUGGCCUACCAAGGCGACGACGGGUAGCCGGCCUGAGAGGGCGACCGGCCACACUGGGACUGAGACACGGCCCAGACUCCUACGGGAGGCAGCAGUGGGGAAUCUUGCGCAAUGGGCGAAAGCCUGACGCAGCGACGCCGCGUGAGGGAUGACGGCCUCGGUUGUAA
Molecule: ribosomal RNA, 397 nt
Filed under: uncultured bacterium
Lineage: Bacteria
Description: bacterial SSU rRNA
Rfam family: Bacterial small subunit ribosomal RNA
Source: RNAcentral